Molecule: non-coding RNA, 672 nt
Organism: Labrus bergylta (ballan wrasse)
Lineage: Eukaryota; Metazoa; Chordata; Actinopteri; Labriformes; Labridae
Source: RefSeq, a predicted model, not a curated record
AAGCGUUCCAACCAGGACAUGUGUGUGUUCACCUGUAUAGUUAUGUAAUAAUCCAGUAAUGCUAUCAACCAAUUUAAGCAGGUCAAAGGUGAAACACGCUCGCAACUGUUGUGAAUAAACGACUGAAGAAAAGACUUGUGCUCUCUUCUUUCAGACACUGUAAGGUUAAAAAAUCUCUUUGUGUGCAGAAAUUGGGAUGGAGGUUUACACCAGAGCUCAGAGAUCACAUAUGAACAGCCAGCAUCAAGAAAUCCAAUCCUCUUAAAAAAGAAAUCUACCGCCACUGCAGGCAAGCUGACAGGGGAAUGAACGAGGAGCAGAAGGAGAUAUGUGAGGGCAGUGAGGGUGGGAUGUAAAGAGGUUUUUGUUGCUGUCUCACUCUCUGCUGGAUGAUGGCGUGUUUGUGCUCCAGCUCCCUCUUCUCCACGGCCGAGUCGAUCACCAGCUGAUCCAGCUGCACCGAGAGAAGAAGACAACAGAUUCAGUUCAGUUGUGAUAUUAGGCAAAAUACCUUUGUUUCCUUUCCUUUGUUAUCUGUUUUUUUGCACCGAUACACCAAGACAAAUUCUUUGUGUGUGUAAAUGUACUUGGAAAUAAAACCCGAUUCUGAUUCUGAUUCUGAAUACACAAGACUUACUUUUAUAAUAAAUGCAAACCUUUGACAAGGCAAAA